GAUGAACGCUGGCGGCGUGCCUAAUACAUGCAAGUCGAGCGAACAGACGAGGAGCUUGCUCCUCUGACGUUAGCGGCGGACGGGUGAGUAACACGUGGAUAACCUACCUAUAAGACUGGGAUAACUUCGGGAAACCGGAGCUAAUACCGGAUAAUAUAUUGAACCGCAUGGUUCAAUAGUGAAAGACGGUUUUGCUGUCACUUAUGGAUGGAUCCGCGCCGCAUUAGCUAGUUGGUAAGGUAACGGCUUACCAAGGCAACGAUGCGUAGCCGACCUGAGAGGGUGAUCGGCCACACUGGAACUGAGACACGGUCCAGACUCCUACGGGAGGCAGCAGUAGGGAAUCUUCCGCAAUGGGCGAAAGCCUGACGGAGCAACGCCGCGUGAGUGAUGAAGGUCUUCGGAUCGUAAAACUCUGUUAUUAGGGAAGAACAAAUGUGUAAGUAACGAUGCACGUCUUGACGGUACCUAAGCAGAAAGCCACGGCUAACUACGU
RNAcentral lists this ribosomal RNA (496 nucleotides) under uncultured bacterium. Its description in RNAcentral is "partial 16S ribosomal RNA". It matches the Rfam family "Bacterial small subunit ribosomal RNA", at positions 28 to 506 of the family's 1533-position model. The record is from RNAcentral.